This is a long non-coding RNA of Leopardus geoffroyi (Geoffroy's cat), 3912 nucleotides long. RefSeq lists it as uncharacterized. The record is from RefSeq and is a predicted model, not a curated record. The transcript has 6 exons. Lineage: Eukaryota; Metazoa; Chordata; Mammalia; Carnivora; Felidae.
CCUGUGGAUGGAAAUGCCGGUCUGAGACAGCCCGGCUCCCGCUGCUGACCUGGGAGGGGCAGGCUGACCCGCGGAAGCCCCGAGUGGGCAGGGUGAGGCAGCCGGAAGCUUCUGGAGCCCAGGAGGUCCGGCACACCCUGCGGGACAGGACUUGUCUCCCCACCUUCUGAGCCGCCAAGGAACCCAGCCAGGGUGGGACAGGCGACGGGGACGCGGGUGACACCCACCUUCAUUUCAGCCUCCAGCUGGAGGAGGUCGAGCGGGAACUGCCCUGUAGGAGAGAUGGGGCGCCAAGGGGUGCAGCAGCAGGACCGGACAGUAAGGCUGGUUCACACCCCUGGCCUCACUGGUGGGGACACAGGAAGACGCGCGUCACCUCGUGACGGGAGUUCCAGGACGCGUCUGGCGGCUCAGACGGUUCCCCGUGACGCCCGCCUGCCUCCGGCGGCCACAGGCGAGGGCCCGUGUGGUGAAGACAGGGUCCCCGUGUUGCUGCCAGGGCCCCAGGGCCCCAGGGCCAGGUCGGGAACCCCGUCUCCUGCCUGAGCUGUGCUUUGUGAGCUGGUGGCGUCACUUCCUGAGAGCCGGCCACACCCCCACGAGGACGGAUCUGUGUCGUCCUUCUCCUGUCGGUUGCUGCUCUUUAGGUCUUGAAGCUACGUUGUUAGAGGCACAGGAUUUGGAAUUGCUGUAUUUUUCUGGUGGGUUUACUCCUUUUUCAUAAUGGACUUCUUUUUUUCGAGUUUCUGGCAAUGUUUCCUGCCUCAAGGUACACUCGUCUGGUUUCUCACACACAAACAGAUAUUUGUACACACACACACACACACAGGUGCAUUCACAGACGCAUGUAGACACACACUCAUGCAAAGGUGCACAUUCACACACAGGUGCACAUGUGCACACACACAGGCUUGGUUUGCCUGCCCCUGUCCCGCAUUCAGCUUGUGUGGGUGUCUGUCCUCACAUUUGCAGUGUCCCUCGUAAGCAGCAUAUGGUUUUGUUUUUAUCCAACUGCCGACGUUUACCUUUAACGGAGUAUUCAGUGGGUUCCCAUUCAGUGUGCUUACGGACAGAUGUCAGUUGGAACCAACUAUGUUAAAUGUGCCUGGUUCCAUCUGCUCUGUGCUCCCUUUUCUCUCCUUUCGUGUCGUCUUCAGGGUCCGGUAAUUUUGGUGUCAUCCUCGCCGGGCAUGCUUAGUUGCGUGGUCCUGGCCCGUCGUCGGCUCCACCCCCGGAAGCGGCGAGGUAUGUCCCCGCUUUGACCACGCUGAACGAGGGCCGCGGUUCGCUCCUGGGGGUCUCCCCUCCAGCGUCGCCUCCUUCUCGAAGGGCCCUUGCCAUCUGUCCCGUCCCAUCAGGGCGGGUCCUCCGAUGGCCUCGCUUGGAAGGGGGUUUCUGCUGACGCACACAGGCCAUCUUUACGUUGUCCUGAGGCCUCUUCUCUGGCGUCUGUCUUCCGUGCGGAGGAGUGAGGUCCUGUUGGUCGGUGGAGCGAAGGGCUCCUUCGGCCUCAGAAAACCCUUCGCCGUGACGCCUCCCGCAGUGGAAGAAUCUGGCAGGGUCGUCCCACCGUCCGUGGGAAGGAACCCGCGAGGUGCUAAGACUUCAGCCCCGGGGCGAUCGGGCCAAGAGAGGACUCCACGCAGCCGCGGGAGGGGAGGGGCCGUCCCCCCACACGCUGGGUGCCGGGGGCCCAGCUCCGCCCUUCAGCCCCGCUGUCCUUGAAGCCCUGGGCCCUGAGGCUUUGGGCCAACUAGGGAUCAAACCGCCACAGGUGCCGUUGGGCCCCAUACGCCUGGAAGGGGUGUCCUUCCUCCAGGAGGGCACGGGUAACCACAGAGGACAGUGCCGGGGACCCACCCCAGCCCAGGGCCGCCUGGAGCACACUCACCGGGUGGUCCUGGUGGGCCCACUUCUCCUUUGUCACCCUUCGGUCCAGGAGGCCCCUGGUACCCUGGAGGGACAGAGACCCAGGAGUGCCCAUCAUCGAGCUGUGACAGGGCCCUUGGGCCAUGCCCCUGUGCCCUGCUCACCCCCAGCCCUUGUGAGUGCUGCGUGCACUAGCCCGGACGGGGGAGGAGCACCACACGAGUUUGGGAGCCUUCAGAGCAAGAGCUUUUGUUGAGCAGAAGCACUCGGGGGUCCCACCCAAGGGGCUGCCCCUGGAGGCCACACCACUCCCGCGGGGCGGGCGCGGGCUGACAGAGCAGGCCCGGGCAGGGGGCAGAUCUAAAUUCCGCACGCAAGUGGGUGUCUACUCAGUGUCCGGGGCUGUCCCCCAACGAGGCUGCCAGGACGGCUGUGCUGGGAUGACCCGGGAGGCCCCGCGAGGGGCCCGUGAUCACUCUGGAGCAGGGGACAUGGGCUGAUGAGGCAUUCCUGCUUCCCCUGGAGCCCAGGCUCACAGGACGAAGUCCUGCGGCAUCCAGCAUCCCCAAGAGAAGCCACCGCCCCAGCCACCGCGAAGCCCCAGGGGCCCUCACCUGGCAAUCCUGGAGGUCCAGGGCGGCCAGACUCCAUGAAGGCCUGCAAAGAAGCUGGCCGGACCACACGGCUCAAGGUUCAGGCUCCCAGAUGCAGAGAGCCCUCACUUCCCCAGGUGGGGUUUGUUUUCUAAUGGAGUACUGGCCAGCCCCCUGCCAGAAAUUGGGGUGUCCCCUCCCUGGGAGAGGCUGACCCCUCCAGGGGGUGGCUGGUGGAUAGGGCCUGUGAGGAGGGGAGUGGGGGUACUUACGUUGCUGUCAUAGACGGGAGUCCCGGGAGGGCCUGGGGGUCCUGGAGGCCCCGGGGGACCAGGUGGGCCCUGCAUGGGGAGGACAGAACACGAGGUCAGUCACGUUCACAGCCAGGCCGUGGAUGUGACCAGGGCAGCAGAUGUGAGGGGGAAUAUUUCACUAAAUACGUCACUAAAAUCAGAAAACUGAACGUGUGUGACAGCAUAUAAUCAGGAAGCAUCCAGUUUGGUUGUGGCUGUGGGGCCCCCAAGCACAGCUGCCCCUUUCAGAACGUGCCUGGGGGACGUGGAGAGGGCGACAGGACUGGCGGGGAGCACGGAGACUAACGCAGAGUCUGGGAGCUCAUCUGUGUAUUUCCACGUUCAAGGCAGAGCCCCAGGAGGCCCAGAGGCCAGCAGGCUGAGCCCAUGUGUGAACUUUCAUUUACUUAUUCACAGAAAGAGAAGAGACAGCCACCCAGGCGGGGUGCAAAGCACUCAUUCUGGCAGUGACCUGCUUACUGGACAAAGCACCAGCCUGUGUAACUCACGCUGCGUCAGGAGUGAGACCAGGGCCAGUGAGGUCGUGCAAACCUCAGGACCCGGCCCCGCCUGCCCUGCGGUCGCCUCCUUGCAGUGCCCCACUGAGGCCAAGGACAGAGGGACUGGAGGCAGCACAGAGGUGGGGUGUCGGGCCCCCAGAGGAGCCGCUGGAGGCGGAGCCCUGUCCCAGCAGACUCCGCGGGGCACACAUGUGCCCUUAGGUCAGAACUGACUCGCCGUCCGCCCUUAGGUCAGAAGUGCGGAAAGGAUCCCGGCGCCUGUCUUGCUUGUCGAGGCCCGCGACCCGUCUUUGUGUCACUACUUCAGAUCGCCGCAAGAUGUCACCUCCUGCCUCUUGAUUUUUCACGAGGCAGCAGCCACAUUUAGGCCACGGGAGGAAGGAGCCACGAUGAAGAACCAGCAGUGAUGGCAAAAGCAGAAAAGUGGGGACCGUCUGACACGCUGGCCUCGGGACCCCACGCCCCGGCCCAGGCCGUGGGAGCAAAGUCACCGAGUGUACCUGGCAGCUGGCUGGGUGCCCAGCCGCAGGAUCGGGAACAGGUCCCGUGCCUGGAGGCCCCCUCUUAGGGAGAAACGGAUAAAAACACCCAGGCUACCAACAAAAACCCUGCUCAGAAGCCGGUGAGGCACUGAGA